RNAcentral lists this ribosomal RNA (492 nucleotides) under uncultured bacterium. Its description in RNAcentral is "partial 16S ribosomal RNA". It matches the Rfam family "Bacterial small subunit ribosomal RNA", at positions 29 to 507 of the family's 1533-position model. The record is from RNAcentral.
AGUGAACGCUGGCGGUAGGCCUAACACAUGCAAGUCGAACGGCAGCACAGUAAGAGCUUGCUCUUACGGGUGGCGAGUGGCGGACGGGUGAGGAAUAUAUCGGAAUCUACUUUUUCGUGGGGGAUAACGUAGGGAAACUUACGCUAAUACCGCAUACGACCCACGGGUGAAAGCAGGGGAUCUUCGGACCUUGCGCGAUUGAAUGAGCCGAUGUCGGAUUAGCUAGUUGGCGGGGUAAAGGCCCACCAAGGCGACGAUCCGUAGCUGGUCUGAGAGGAUGGUCGGCCACACGAGAACUGAGACACGGUCCAGACGCCUACGGGAGGCAGCAGUGGGGAAUGUUAGACAAUGGGCGCAAGCCUGAUCCAGCCAUACCGCGUGGGUGAAGAAGGCCUUCGGGUUGUAAAGCCCUUUUGUUGGGAGAGAAAAGCAGCAGGUUAAUACCCCGCUGUUCUGACGGUACCCAAAGAAUAAGCACCGGCUAACUUCGUG